GCUCGUGGAUCGAUGAAGACCGCAGCUAAAUGCGCGUCAGAAUGUGAACUGCAGGACACAUGAACACCGACAAGUUGAACGCAUAUUGCACAUCGUACAACAGUACGAUGUACACAUUUUUGAGUGCCUAUAUUUAUCCAUUCAACUAUGCGGGCUCCCGGGCCCGCAUGCGCCGUGACGUUUUCCCGCCUUCGGUGGCGGUAAAACGUUCAAGUCCCCGUCAGACGCACAUGACGAGCACAUACCACACUCCGCCGCCGCGGACCAGUUGUGCCACCGUCCUCUGCCGUGAUGACUCGAAGACUAUAUAUAUAGUAGGCCUCAAAUAAUGUGUGACUACCCCCUAAAUUUAAGCA
Molecule: ribosomal RNA, 356 nt
Filed under: Tripteroides atripes
Lineage: Eukaryota; Metazoa; Arthropoda; Insecta; Diptera; Culicidae
Description: eukaryotic LSU rRNA
Rfam family: 5.8S ribosomal RNA (bases 1-129)
Source: RNAcentral